RNAcentral lists this non-coding RNA (26 nucleotides) under Rattus norvegicus (Norway rat). Lineage: Eukaryota; Metazoa; Chordata; Mammalia; Rodentia; Muridae. The record is from RNAcentral.
UGAUGGCACAUUUGAUCUUUGAAGAG